This 440-nucleotide ribosomal RNA is filed under the name uncultured bacterium. RNAcentral describes it as "partial 16S ribosomal RNA". It matches the Rfam family "Bacterial small subunit ribosomal RNA", at positions 338 to 795 of the family's 1533-position model. The record is from RNAcentral.
CCUACGGGAGGCUGCAGUGGGGAAUAUUGCACAAUGGGGGAAACCCUGAUGCAGCGACGCCGCGUGAGUGAAGAAGUAAUUCGUUAUGUAAAGCUCUACCAGCAGGGAAGAAAAUGACGGUACCUGAGUAAGAAGCCCCGGCUAACUACGUGCCAGCAGCCGCGGUAAUACGUAGGGGGCAAGCGUUAUCCGGAUUUACUGGGUGUAAAGGGAGCGUAGACGGCAGUGCAAGUUUGGAGUGAAAGGCGGGGGCUCAACCCCCGGACUGUUCUGGAAACUGUACGGCUGGAGUGCAGGAGAGGUAAGUGGAAUUCCUAGUGUAGCGGUGAAAUGCGUAGAUAUUAGGAGGAACACCAGUGGCGAAGGCGGCUUGCUGGACUGUAACUGACGUUGAGGCUCGAAAGCGUGGGGAGCAAACAGGAUUAGAUACCCUAGUAGUC